This 490-nucleotide ribosomal RNA is filed under the name Occidozyga laevis. Its description in RNAcentral is "partial 12S small subunit ribosomal RNA". It matches the Rfam family "Bacterial small subunit ribosomal RNA", at positions 792 to 1523 of the family's 1533-position model. Lineage: Eukaryota; Metazoa; Chordata; Amphibia; Anura; Dicroglossidae. The record is from RNAcentral.
AUGCCCAACCGUAAAAUCAUUCACACCACAUACGCCAGGGCAUUACGAGCUUAGCUUAAAACCCAAAGGACUUGACGGUGUCUCACCCCACUAGAGGAGCCUGUCCUAGAAUCGAUAAUCCCCGUUAAACCUUACCACUUCUUGCUUGAUUCAGUUAGUAUACUUCCGUCGUAAGCUUACCAUAUGAAUGUUAGUAGUGGGCCUAAUGAUAAUACAUCAGUACGUCAGGUCAAGGUGCAGCAUAAGAGGUGGGCUGAGAUUGGCUACAAUUUCUAAUAUAGAACACGCGGAGCAUUAAAUGAAAUACAAAUGCAAAGGGGGAUCUAGUAGUAAAAAGAAAAUAAAGUGUUCUUUUUAAUAAGGGCACUGGGACGCGUACAAACCGCCCGUCACCCUCCUCAACAAUUUAUAUUAGUAAAUAACACAAACUUUACCACUAGAGGAGGCAAGUCGUAACACGGUAAGUGUGCCGGAAGGCGCACUUGGAUAG